CCUUUCAUUGAAUUAUUUUGUGAUGCCUGAAUUCAUCUAAUCUCAGAAGCUAAGCAGGGUCAGGGCUGGUUAGUACUUAGAUGGGAGACCAUCUGGAAACACCAGGUGCUGUAGGCA
Molecule: ribosomal RNA, 117 nt
Filed under: Callorhinchus milii (elephant shark)
Lineage: Eukaryota; Metazoa; Chordata; Chondrichthyes; Chimaeriformes; Callorhinchidae
Source: RNAcentral